GGGCGUUUAGCUCAGCUGGGAGAGCAACUCGUUUACACCGAGUAGGUCGGCAGUUCGAUCCUGUCAACGCCCACCA
RNAcentral lists this transfer RNA (76 nucleotides) under Rhizobiaceae bacterium. Its description in RNAcentral is "tRNA-Val". It matches the Rfam family "tRNA". From Rfam's summary of the family: Transfer RNA (tRNA) molecules are approximately 80 nucleotides in length. The record is from RNAcentral. Lineage: Bacteria; Pseudomonadati; Pseudomonadota; Alphaproteobacteria; Hyphomicrobiales; Rhizobiaceae.